Molecule: ribosomal RNA, 349 nt
Filed under: Escherichia coli
Lineage: Bacteria; Pseudomonadati; Pseudomonadota; Gammaproteobacteria; Enterobacterales; Enterobacteriaceae
Description: bacterial SSU rRNA
Rfam family: Bacterial small subunit ribosomal RNA
Source: RNAcentral
GCUGUCGUCAGCUCGUGUUGUGAAAUGUUGGGUUAAGUCCCGCAACGAGCGCAACCCUUAUCCUUUGUUGCCAGCGGUCCGGCCGGGAACUCAAAGGAGACUGCCAGUGAUAAACUGGAGGAAGGUGGGGAUGACGUCAAGUCAUCAUGGCCCUUACGACCAGGGCUACACACGUGCUACAAUGGCGCAUACAAAGAGAAGCGACCUCGCGAGAGCAAGCGGACCUCAUAAAGUGCGUCGUAGUCCGGAUUGGAGUCUGCAACUCGACUCCAUGAAGUCGGAAUCGCUAGUAAUCGUGGAUCAGAAUGCCACGGUGAAUACGUUCCCGGGCCUUGUACACACCGCCCGU